GUUAUGCAAUGUUUUAACGAACAAAACAUUGCAUUCUUCAAUUAAUAUAUUCAUUUGUAUCUGAAUAAAUACUGAAAUAACAUUCUAGAGACAUGUUUGUAGCAGCUUGCAGCUGCGUCACAUGUUUGAGGUUGGGUGGUCUGUGGUUUAGUGAGUGCAGUGACACGUGUGUUGGUGAUGCAACAGUUUGGAUUGCAAAGGAUGAGAGAGUGUCGAUUGGACCCUUAUUCCGUUGCUCCUUGAAUGUUCUUUGCUUUCUCCUGCUUCUGUCUUCAAUCUACAGGGUUAACUGUAAGCACUGUGCAUGGUGAUGCACUUGAUGUCAGCGUGCAAACCUCCAGUGGAAACAGCCAUCUGUGCUAACAUGUUCGAAGUCACUCAUGACUUCCUGUAUACAGUUUAACACUGAAAAUAUUAGGUCUCCUGCCAAAUGAGAAACGGUUUCCUGUUUGUGCAUUCUUGUUUUGAGACUUGAGCUAUUCACACCUCUGCAGAUUCUUCCCACAGUUUUGAGGCAGUGCUUUUUAAAAUAUCAGUACCAUCUACAAUUUUGACAGCUAUGCAUAUAAUAUUGUUCACAACAAUUUUUAUCAAAUAGUAAGAUCAUAAUCAACAUAAUGUUUAUGCAUGCACUGUAUAUUUAAACUUAUGGCUGAAGCUAACUUAGUUCUUCAAAGUUAUUUUUAUAUAUUUGAUAACAUUGAAAUAACAUAGUGCUCAUAUAUGACCCAUUAGUGAUAAUAUAGUGAUCCAAUAAAUAUGGAUAAAACUGAGAUCAUCAUUAUCGGUACUUCACCACUUACUACCAGCACACUAAACGUUAUUUCCAUAUCACUCCAAUUUUAUUAAAAACUCAAUUGGCUUCCAGCUGUAUAUCGUAUUAAAUACAAAAUGUCUUACUCACAUUUCAAUCUCUACACAACCUGGCUCCUCGAUACCUCUGUGAUAUGCGUCUAUCUUAUACUUGUUAGGUUCCUUUGACUCUGGCCUUCGCCUUGCUUUAAUGAAAAUAGAUCGUUCAGUGUUUGUGCAGCAAAGCUGUGGAAUUCACUUCCCCAAUCACUCCGUUGUGUCAACAACAUUUCUGAAUUUAAAUAAUUACUUAAGGCUCAUGUGUUCUCUGAAUGUUAUAAUCUGUAAGAUGUUUUUCAAGUUCUCUUUGUUUUUUGUCUCAUUUGUAUUGUGUUUUCCUCUCAUUUUACUUUUAUCUUCAUCUGUUAUUAUUUGUCAUUUCUGUUUGAGUUUAAAUAUUGUUUGUGCUUCCCCUUUUUUAAACUUUUUAAAUAUUUUAAAUGUUACACUGUCUCACACUCUACUAUUUAUAACAGAGGAAUUAUUAAAGACAUAACAUCUAACCUGCUGGUGUAAUACAGUUUAUAUAAUCAAGAUGCAAAAAACUUUUAAUAUCCAAGAGAUUAUACUGUGCCUACAAUGUGUACGACAGACAUUAAGAAUGAUUUUCAAUGUUAUGACAUUUACUGCACUUCAAUGUACAGAAUGAAAAUGCUUGGAGUCUACACAGGGUUGUUGUAAAUUGUGAAAAAAGUUCAGAAUUUGGUGGUAUAGCUGCAUUAGCCUAUUAUUACUUAAAGAGCGAUGACUGUCCAUGAGGUUUUGUUGACAACAGUGCCACCUGUUGGUCUGAACAGAUACUGUACUAUUUUACAACCUGAUACAUAAGGAGGAUCACAGCUACAUUUAAUGGAACAAAUCAUGUGUAAAAAAGUGCUAAAAUGCCAUGGACAGACAGAUUUCUUGUUCUGUGAUAACAAAUUAAAAGUGAAAUUUAUCAAAUAAUUUUCAUUUGAUAAACAAAAAUGACAAGUGAAACUUUUCAAGAUCAGGGGCUUUUGUCAAUACGUUAGGGGCUUAAGCCCUUGAAGCCCCUACUCCCCUACUUGGAACGAGGCAGUUGAGGUAGUGACAACUGACAGAUUCCUAAUCUUACAAAAGAUGACGCAUUUUGGAUAUCCUGUGGCUUUAACAUCUGGCAUGUUGUCAAGAUUAUGUACUUGCUGCUUGACACAUGAAUCUUCUGGUAUUUGUCAGGGACAUGUCAGCAAAGUCAAAGUCAAAGUCAAAUUUAUUUCAUCCAUACAAAUGGAAAUUACAGUGCUUACACACACUGUCAUGCUCAUACAAACAAAUAGCACUAAAAUAUAAUAAGCUAAAACAUUAAAUACACACGCAUACAACUACGAAAACUCUACAAAUGUACGUUUAAAAUGCUCAUUAUGCUGCCUAACUACUUGUGGUAUAAAAGAGCAGGCAUACCGCUUAGUGCGUGCCACUGGUGGUCUUAACCGCCCACUACGCUCCAUGACCUUGUUGUCCAAACAAGCAUAAAGAGGGUGACAGGAGUCCUCCAUAAUCUUAGCUGCCAUUUUCUCCAGGCGGUCAUUUAAUUCACAAAGUAUUGCAUUUAAUUCACAAAGUAUGCUUAUGGCAUAUUCCUGCCAUAGCCGCGGGAACAAAUUUGAUCAGAGGGGUGCUGGGCUUAAUGCUGCGGGGAUGCGGUGGUGGAUUUUUCACAAAAUCCCAAUAUUAAACAGCCCAAACAAACCACACUCACUUACAGACUACCAUGCAAAUUAAUGAGGGCAUAGUUAUGUGUGAACACUCAGAGCUUAUGAUUACGUAAAAGUUAAAACCAUCUAAGAUAUUUAACUGCUGCACAGCGACAGCACAAAAACCUGAGUCUUACCUUAUGAUCAUGGACUUACUAUUGGUCUGACUGGGCUGAGGCUGAGCGGACUGAGCCAAUGCGAGCGAGGGUUGUAAACAGGCCAUCCAGGGUAAAUAAAAGCCUCCGACACUGAGGCCUAUGACCAAACGGUGUAUUUAUUAUUUAUUAUUAUUUCAAAUAGAAGUACACAUGCGUUGAAUCACUUCUGCUACAUUGGCGGGAAAAGAGUUAGCAGUUCAUUAAUCAACAAAUUACUAACUAUCAUAGACUCAAGUUCACACAACAUUCCGUUUUUGCCUCGUCAAAAAUAUAGAACAGCAGAAUGCAUCUCCGAGCAACCAGACCAUAGUUUAGCUGUAGCCUUCAUCCUGCUGCAUCAUCAACAACAUCCCUCUAAUUUUUUGAUCCAAGUAACGUUGAACAGCUCGAUGUGGUCCUUCUGCUAUUAGACUCUAAUUCAUUUUUAGAUGUCCUUUUUUUAUUCUGAUGGAUUUGUAAAUAAAUCAGAUAUUAUUUUCUGACUCGCAAUACUUGGGUCGCAUCACAUCAUUCACGAUAGAUCUACUUAUAUUUAUUUCUCAAAAUCACAAACAACAUUUGACCACAUCAUAUAACAAAAUUAUAUUUUGAACAAUUUUAUGAAGAAAGGUGAAAAAUUAAAAACCUGUUGGAAAACAAAAACUUUUAAUUUAAAUUGACAUCAUAUAAUUUUAAAUUGUCUUGCUGUCAGCAGGGGGUGCUGCAGCACCCUCAGCAGCCCUAGUUCCCGUGGCCAUAAUUCCUGCUGACAAUUGCUUUUGUACCAAAUAAAAAAGUUUCAUCCUAUCUAUAUUUUUUCUCUACUUAAUGCAGUUCUAAACGUAGGCUCGGGAGGAGCCUAAACAUUCAGGCCUGUCAAUCAUCAUCAUCAUAUAUAUAAAGCAGCCUUCAGGCCUUCCUGUCCAGCUGCUUUCUUUUCCGACAUCCCUCCUCCUCCCCAUCUCCUCCUUCACUCUCUCUUUCUUCCUCUUUGCAGUUCCGUUGCAGGGGGUUGAACUUGUGGCUCGAGCCCCAGCCUCAGGUUCGCUCUCUCUGAAGGUUCAGAGCUCAGGUACAGAGCUCCCUUCGAGGACAGCAAGCCAAGUUUGUUUACCAUUAAUCAUUAAGACCUGAAUGCGCAGGCGAACUAGUGAAUAAUCUCUUAAAUAUGGGCAUUUUCUUUAAAAAAUUUUUUUUUUAGCAAAAAUCUGAAAUAAUUGCAUUUUGUGAAGGAAUUUUUUAGAGAUCAGAUUUAGAUCACAGAGUUUAAAAUUAGUAAAUAAUGUUUUGGCUUCAGUUUUUCAUUAAUUGGAUAAGUGUGCCAUCUAUUAGAUUAUAGCGGUAUUGCAGAUUAACAUAAAAAUUCUUCAGGAACACGUUUUUUAUGCAAAUGUUUUCUCUUAAUGGAUGGGGAUAACUCAUCAAUGACAUGGAAAAGCUGAAAGCUUGGUGAAAGCUUUUUAAAAUGGGUUAAUUGGGACAAAAGUGAGGCUUAUUGGGCAGGUCAAAGGCCUUCUAAUAAUCUUCCACAUCUGCCAGGUGGACUUAGAUAGAAAACAGAUGGUUUAAGAUGUUAGGUAUUUAUUAGGUUCUAAUGAAUUCCAAAAGCUAAACUGGGGAGGAACAUACAAGUGGUCUACAUAACAAAAAAAAAAAAAGCUAAGUCAGCACUACUUGCAUUCGUUGUGGUGGACACACUUGCAGAGAGCAUCAAGAGAUAUGCUACAAGUCCUGCUGGAAAGACUGAACACACACACGUACACAUAUACACACUAUGGGCCCUAUUUUAAAUGAUCUAGGCGCAUCGUCUAAAGCACACAGCGCAGGGUCUAAAUGAGCGUGUCCAGUGCCACUUUUGCUAAUUUAACCACGGGGAAAAUGGUUUGUGCGCCGAGCGCACAGUCAAAAAGGGUUGUACAUAUUUUCCUAAUGAGUAAUGGAUGUGUUUUAGGCGUAACGAAUAAUAAACCAAUGAGAAGCAAACCCGCGUUGUCGUCCUGUUUAUAGGCGCAUAUUACUAAUGCGCUCUUUAAAUAACAAAAAAACAUAUUGCGCCAUUGACUUUAGACCAGGUUUUUGUUGGUCAAUGGCGUAGUCUAUUUAAGUUGCCUCAAAAUAGCAACGCGCCAAGAAUGCGCCUGAACACACCUCAUUUUCAGACCAGAACGCCCAUGGGCGCAAAAGGGGGCGCAAAUGCAUUUGCUAUUUAAACCACGUGGCGCAAAACGUGAAAAUGAUAAUUGCACAGGGUGGAAACUAGCAAAAGACACUUGCGUCGCGCAUUGCGCCGGGUGUAAGAUAGAACCCUAAAAGUUAGUUUGAUUGUUUAGUUCUCCAUUCAUCCUCAACUCUUGCUUCAUUGUUCAGUUUAUUUGAAGUUGUUUUUUCAUUUUGGUUCAUUUGGUUUGGCACGUAUGGUUGGGUUGCGAUUUUGGUGCUUUCGUGUGUCUUGUGAAUAGUAUGCCAUACCGACCUGUUUGCCACUGAACCUGCAUUAACGACGACAGUGGGGCCUCCAGCCUUAGUCAAACGGGUUAGCACGUAUGGUCAAAUGGGUCGUCAGGUUUCAUUUUCUCUUAAAGAUCGGAAGGUGACCCUUAUUUACCAUAUAUACCCUCGCAUUGGGCCCCCAAUUUGCUAAAUCCUCAACUGUGGAUAAUAUAAUUAUGCCGCAAUAGUUAGUCUGUCUGGAACUAAGCGGAGUUAAACCACAUCACUGUGUGACACUUCAAUACAUAUGAACGGCCGCUACCCUAAUACGAUUUUGUUUUUCUCUCCCUGUCUCGUUCUCGACCCGAGGACAACGAGACAAACAGACCCAGUCCCGGUAGAUGUGAAAGUCUGCACACCUCUGAUCUACUGGCUGUCCUUCAACGUGAUGGCCAGCUGAUACCUGACCAACGAUCACCGGCAGAACCGCUUAAUCUCCGCUAAAUCUCCUUAUCCGUUCUCCCAAGGGUUUUUCCCUCCUAGGACUUAUUUUUCCUCGGAUAAAAGCCCGGGGGGGGGGGGGUUUCUCCUAGGGGGUUUUCACCCCGGGGAGGCAGCCUUUUUGGGCUUUACUUAGCUUCCUCUUCUAGACGUUACUUUAGUAAUACGUUCACUUAUAAUAUUGAGUCAUAGCCGCAGCAAAUUUAACUGCUUAUGCUAUCAUGUAUGUUGUCGUGCUAUCUGUCGUUUUUCUGUGCUUUUCACUGCUUCUAUUUAUGGAAAGCUGCUUUGAAACAAUUGACUUUUGUGAAAAGCGCUAUAUAAAUAAAAUUGAAUUGAAAAUUGAAUUGAAUUAAAUGUUGUUCAUAAAUCUGA
Non-coding RNA from Paramisgurnus dabryanus, 6010 nucleotides. The record is from RefSeq and is a predicted model, not a curated record. NCBI's taxonomy places the organism in Eukaryota, Metazoa, Chordata, Actinopteri, Cypriniformes, Cobitidae.